This 253-nucleotide ribosomal RNA is filed under the name uncultured bacterium. Its description in RNAcentral is "partial 16S ribosomal RNA". It matches the Rfam family "Bacterial small subunit ribosomal RNA", at positions 524 to 776 of the family's 1533-position model. The record is from RNAcentral.
UACAGAGGUCCCAAGCGUUGUUCGGAUUCACUGGGCGUAAAGGGUGCGUAGGUGGUAGGGUAAGUCUGGUGUGAAAUCUCCGAGCUCAACUCGGAAAUGGCAUUGGAUACUAUUCUGCUAGAGGAUUGGAGGGGGGACUGGAAUACUUGGUGUAGCAGUGAAAUGCGUAGAUAUCAAGUGGAACACCAGUGGCGAAGGCGAGUCCCUGGACAACUCCUGACACUGAGGCACGAAAGCUAGGGGAGCAAACAGG